GACGAGCAGAGAGGCACCCAUCAGCAUCCAGCAGAAACCAUCGAUCGAUCGAUCGCCGGACACAGCAUCGAUUCUCCUCGCACACGCACAUACGGAUUCAGUCGAUCGAUAGAUAUACGUGAUGGAGAAUGAGAGGAACAACCAGGCUCCACCCCUACCCCCAGGCUACUACCCAUCCGCGGCUGCGGAGCAACGUCAAGGCGGCGGCGAAAAGGGAUUCAUCCAAGGAUGCCUGGCCGCGCUCUGCUGCUGCUGGAUCUGCGACAUGUGCUGCGACUAACUCGCCGGUCGCUGCCGGCACAAGACGUUGGUGCUAGUAUAGACCUAUGAAGAGCAUACACACAGAGAGACUCGUUGCUUAGUUAAGUGUUUGUUUGUUGUUUUAGGUAGUGCAAAAAAUACCCCGCAAAAAAAAAAGUAGUGCAGAAAAUAACCGAGAACCCAUGCAUGAGUGGUGUCCAUGUAACUUACCGUGCGUAUCGAUAAUUCUACACCUACGAAAGUUCUAUGUAGGGUUACGUAACCUUCCAUAAAAUCCCCCCCCCCCUAUUUUAACCGGGGUGGGCCCCAGCUGCAAAUCCUGGCCCAAUUAACAAACCCCACAUCAGCUUUUACGUGAACGUAGCAUUACGUAUGUGUAGCAUUGCUCCGUGCGUAUUGGGGCUUUGCUACACCCAGGCAAUUAUUGUACGUAAAACUACGUGAAAACUGGUUUGGGUGAUUUGAUUGGAAGAAAAAAAAUGGCCCGGACCCCACCACGUGAAAUUCGGGGGGAAGAGAGAAGUAAAUUACGAAGUUUAAGUAAGUUUACCUAGAUGGUACGUAGGUGUAGGAUUAGAAUAAUGCUACAUCUAUGAAUGGCUUAAAGUAAUCCUUAGAGGAUUAGACAGCUAGCAAGUUAUGAUUGGAGUCAGAGAGAAGGCGUAACACCCCAACUACUUACAAAUUGGUAGUAGUUAUACAUAGAUCAUAAGGGCACUAUACAAAAUAGCGUCGCCCUUAAAAAUAUGAUGUUAACGUACUAUAGCGUGGUAUAGUACUGUGCCAUUAACAAGAUAUUAUAUAUUAAUCAAUUUAGCGAGACAAUUCUCUACAUACUAUAGCAUGCUACUAGCGACACUAUAGCAUGCUAUUUUCGCAGUGAUACAACACAAAUCUUUUUCAACGCACGUGGUGCCCAACACUCUAAGUCAAACAUGCUUGACUAAGAAGUUCUCACGCGAUUGCUUCUAGAUAUGGGGACGGGUACGGCCGUGGUCAUGGAGGACAGGGUGACGAGGGAACACAUCGCGGCCGACGAGGAGUGCAUGGAGGACCUCCGCCGCCAGUACUGGGGCUUUUGAACUUGCGAGUGUGUUUCAUACUCCAAGUUUGAAUAACCAUUUACUGAGGAGCACUAUCUAGUAUUAUAUCUCGAGUUCUCGACAGUCGACACCACCUUGAUCUUUCGCGACAACGAACGCUCCAUCUAUAGCCAGAUAAUGUUUUCCCUGGCCGAUUCACAAAAACUCCACGCACGCUUUGGCCAGCGAAUAUCAAACAGAUAACCGACCCCGAAACAGCAGUCAGAAAGGGGGGCCGGAAUAUGGUUGCUUUGCAUCUGAUCUGUAGCUAACUUUCUCCCGUCAUCUAGCCGGCGACGGCGCGACCCGAACCGUCGAUCCCUUGCACCAACCCCUGGAUGGCCGGCUAGCUUGUCGAUCACUGUACGUGCGUACCAUGUCGAUCAGUAGCUAGUGUGUGUGCGCGCGCGCUCAACAAACCUCGGCCAUUGAUUCGGGCAGCACACUUUCCAUUUCUCAAGCUCGUAAAGGCACGUGCUGUUGAGUCAGUCCGAAUCGAAUCCGGCUGAUGGUCAAUCCGUAUCAGCAACCGCGUGGCGUGGUGAGGAAAGGUGGGCAGAGAACCUUGUGUACUAUACUAGUAUGCUCUAUCUUUAUGUGAUCUCCGCGUCCCUCUUGUCUAUGAGCAUCUCUUUGGCGGUGGGUGUGGAUGUGUGUAUAUAGAUACGAACUUGGGGCGUCGAGAAGCACCCAUCAUCAGUCAGCUGAAUCCCGUGGAUCGAUCGACCGCCGGCCACAGCAUCGGUUCUCCAAACGGCGACGAGCACGUCCGAAGCUGGUCGUUAGAUAGAUAGAUAGAUAGAUACGUGAUGGAGAACGACAGGAACAACCAGGCGCCGCCGCUACCCCCAGGCUACUACCCAUCUGCGGCUGCGGAGCAACGUCAAGCCGGUGGCGGGAAGAAGUCGCGCCGGGGGAGCACCAAAUCCAGGGGCGAGAAGGGAUUCAUCGAAGGAUGCCUGGCGGCGCUGUGCUGCUGCUGGAUCUGUGAGAUGUGCUGCGACUAACCGGCCGGCGACGUCGCUGCCGUUGGUGCUAGUACCUGCGUUGAAGAACGUACACAUACAGAGAGAGUCGCUGCUUAAUUACAGUGUUUGUUUGUUUGUUUGUUGUUUUAGGUUCUGCGUAACUAACCGAGAACCCGCGCGCGUGUGAUGUCCUUGUACCGUUCCUCAAACCUAUAAUCAAUUUUAAGGCACCAAAUUAUCGGGCUA
This is a long non-coding RNA of Triticum aestivum (bread wheat), 2557 nucleotides long. RefSeq lists it as uncharacterized. Lineage: Eukaryota; Viridiplantae; Streptophyta; Magnoliopsida; Poales; Poaceae. The transcript is spliced from 5 exons. The record is from RefSeq and is a predicted model, not a curated record.